This 1904-nucleotide long non-coding RNA is filed under the name Mytilus galloprovincialis (Mediterranean mussel). The record is from RNAcentral. Lineage: Eukaryota; Metazoa; Mollusca; Bivalvia; Mytilida; Mytilidae.
AUUAAUUAACCUCAUUGGUUGAUAUCUUUGGCGGAAGUACAUGUGAUACAUCCUCAUUCUUUCAAUAUCCAAGCUGUGGGAAGGUCGUGCUCCACGUGUUGUCGGCAAAGUAACUAUAUUCUUUAACUUUUACUUACAUUUGCCUUGGUGGCAAUAUAGCCUUGGUGGCUUUAAGACCUUGGUGGUCAUUUAUAUAUGCCUUGGUGGCAAAAGACCUAGGUGGUCAUUUAUAUAUGCCUUGGUGGCAAUAGACCUAGGUGGUCAUUUUUAUAUGCCUUGGUGGCAAUAGACCUAGGUGGUCAUUUUUAUGAUUUUUUACAUUUGCCUUGAUGGCAACAAUGAAUUAAAAAUACUAGCCUUGGGGGCGUCAAGACCUUGGUGGUCAUUUAUAUUCGCCUUGGCGGCUUCUUGAUAGAACUAGAUGGUAAUGUUUGACCUUGGUGGCAAACUGAUGUUUUGGGAUUUAGACCUUGUGUAGUUAUUAUCAACCCAGGUGGUCAGAUAUUUGUUAUGCCGUGCGCCGGUUAAACGCAGGGCAAAGUGCUAUCGCUAUAUAAAAUAUAUGUGGAAGUGGGGGCUCUGGCCAUUUUGGAAAAUUGUAGUUGAAAGGAGAAUAAUAAAUUGUUUAUAGGGUAAAUAGUUUCUUUUGUUACUUUUGACUGUGUUGUGGACUUUUCAUUUAUUUUUACAUCGUACAUACUGAUAGAAAUGCUAUUUAAAGACUUUGUUAGAAAAGAAUAGAAUUAUUGAGAAAGUGGAAUAAUUUAGUGUGACAUGUCACUUGAUAUUCAUUUUUUUAUCGGAGUGAUGUGUAUUGAAUUAUAAGGUGUCUUCGUCGAGGUCCGCGUUCAGCGGUCUGUUUGAUUGUACAUAGAAUUGAAUAGAAUGUUUUUGUUUUCAGAUGGUGUUACCUACAGCUUUGACAGGGUGACGAAUGAAGGAGAAGUAAUAUGACAUUGCACGAUGAUUCAUGUCAAUGAGUUCGAACAACCUUUUUAAAAGGAAAGGAUUUUUUCUAAUCAGAAUAUGGUGAGAACAAAUUGCAAUUGAAGUAAUGUUUUGAUUUCUGAAAAUAGGAAAAUAAUGAAUGGGGAAAAUAUUGAUACUACACUAAAUUAUGUAUGUCUGUGUUGAGAAAGGCAGAAGAUGCCAAUAUGGCACGGUACUAAAAAAAAAAAAAAAAAAAAAUCUGUGAUGGAAGCAGCUUUAUGUUCAAAUGAACCUAUUUAAAAGUAAUGCUAAUAAUUUUUCCGUAAUUUCAUGAUGUUUUCUAUUGGAUGUGUAUUUAAUUUCAUUGAUGUGUUGAAAUAUGUCACAAAAAUCUUUUUGUCAUGGGAGAUUAAAUAAUGGUUGCAAUAUUUUUGUUUUGUUUUGUUUUAUCUAAAUUAAUAAAUAAAUAUAAUGUUGAAUGAUUUUGUAUACUAGUACAAAUGUAUACUUAAAUUUUAUGUAUGGUUAAAUUUUUUAAUUUAAAUUUCUUUGUCUACAGUUCGAGGGACACUGAUUCCCUAGUGGUUUUCCACGUGGAUUGUAGGCAAAGGGAUUUUUCCUUUUCAAAGUGUGACUAAUGCUGUCUUUAGUACAAAUAAACAAUUUGUUAUUGGUUAAUAUAUUUUCAGCAGACAUGUGAAGAAUCGAGUGGAAAUACAAUUGUCAAUGUUCCUGAUUAUGAAGUAAAGAGUGUGUUUGAUUCAACAACAGUAAAGAAAGAGACAAGCCAGCAUAGUUUACACUUGGAGGUUAAGUCCCUUUGCUUACAAGCUUUCCACAUGCUGAAGAUGUUAUUAGAAUAAUGACAAUGUUCAUUUUGAUAUGAGUUCAUUGCCUUAACUCAACUUUUAAAAGUCCGUAUGUGGUCAAAUUCAUGAGAAUUUAUUGAAUUAUGAACGAUUUAUAAAGAACUG